UUCUUUUGGAUAUUUCAUUCUC
RNAcentral lists this small nuclear RNA (22 nucleotides) under Arabidopsis thaliana (thale cress). Its description in RNAcentral is "snRNA_11928". Lineage: Eukaryota; Viridiplantae; Streptophyta; Magnoliopsida; Brassicales; Brassicaceae. The record is from RNAcentral.